UAAUGAAUUGAUGAGAAAUGCAACGAAGAUCAAGUGUCCAUCUCAAAAUGCUGCUUUUACAAAAGCAGAAUAAAGAAAUGAAAUGAAAAUAA
Molecule: unclassified non-coding RNA, 92 nt
Organism: Panthera pardus (leopard)
Lineage: Eukaryota; Metazoa; Chordata; Mammalia; Carnivora; Felidae
Source: Ensembl